RNAcentral lists this non-coding RNA (59 nucleotides) under unclassified sequences. The record is from RNAcentral.
GCCUUAAUGCAACUCCCUAUUGGGAACGGUCACAAGUCCGUGUAAAUGCAGAGUGAGGA